CAAUUUUCCAUAUCUAAAAAUGGAACUCUUACAUGGUCUUACUUGACAUCAAUAUUUUAAGCAUUUGGGCUCUAAAGUGCUGAAACAUUACUUGCAGCAAGUAAGGAAUCCCAGUGUUGUCAAUAUUAAUACAUGUACAACCACAAUGACAUGCAUGCUGUCUCACAGCUUUAGAAAUCCUUGAAGGAAAGUUGCUAAGAAUAUCAUACAGUAAACCAGGAGAACACAGUCCACUAAACCUUUCUCAAGUGCGUUAAUAUCCUGGGGUUCAUAGUGUCUGCACUGCUCUCUAUUACAAAUUCACAGAAUCUAUGUUGAACAACUUUUAAACAAUUACAUUUUUACAUACGCAAAAAGGAAACAGAUACUCGCAGUCGGAAAUUACCUUUAUUGUGGAUUUGCGAAAAAAAAAUACCAUCAUCAAAAACAACCCAACAAAGGACAAAAAGGAAAAUUCCCACAGCUACUAAAAGCCCACUCCCACUCACUCAUAGCUUUGCCAAAAAUCCCCCAGAAGGUAACCCUCCAAAAACCAGAGCCCCCAAACAGAGUGUGAAACACUUUUGGGUACAGACCCGUUCUCAAUGUCUUGUGACUUCUCUAAGGAAUAUAUCCUGUCUUACCACCGCGGUGUCACAGCAGCUUGUGAAGAGACCUUGAUCAGACCGUAUGUUGUCACAGAGAAUGCAGCCAUGGAUCCCUUCUGCUUCCUGGAGGGCUUAAGAGCCAAACUUUGCAGUCUUCUUUACCUGUACAUUAAUUCUUUCUUCAAUUCAGUCGAUGCUUUUUCUUCAAAACUUGCACAUCUUCCUUACAAAGCCAAAGUGACAUCUAGAGAGCUUCUUGUGGAGGGUUACCCAAUCAACAGCUUUCAAAGAGGUUCUCCUUUGAGAAAGGACCAAACAUGCAACACUUCAGGAAGACCACUUGCCUUUCAAUAAAAUGAGGGGCAGAUGAAAAGCAGGAAGAGGAAGGGCAACAUUAUUCUUGCAAUGGAAAACUAGUUACAAGCUUAGAGGUACAGAUGACUCCACGUAAAGCCUUACCUCUGC
Passer domesticus (house sparrow) is the source of this 1052-nucleotide long non-coding RNA. RefSeq lists it as uncharacterized. Lineage: Eukaryota; Metazoa; Chordata; Aves; Passeriformes; Passeridae. The record is from RefSeq and is a predicted model, not a curated record. The transcript has 3 exons.